AGUGGCGGACGGGUGAGUAACGCGUGGGUAACCUGCCUCAUACAGGGGGAUAACAGUUGGAAACGACUGCUAAUACCGCAUAGGCACACAGUACCGCAUGGUACGGUGUGAAAAACUCCGGUGGUAUGAGAUGGACCCGCGUCUGAUUAGCCAGUUGGCGGGGUAACGGCCCACCAAAGCGACGAUCAGUAGCCGACCUGAGAGGGUGACCGGCCACAUUGGGACUGAGACACGGCCCAAACUCCUACGGAAGGCAGCAG
This 260-nucleotide ribosomal RNA is filed under the name uncultured bacterium. RNAcentral's name for it is "partial 16S ribosomal RNA". It matches the Rfam family "Bacterial small subunit ribosomal RNA", at positions 94 to 354 of the family's 1533-position model. The record is from RNAcentral.